This 458-nucleotide ribosomal RNA is filed under the name uncultured bacterium. Its description in RNAcentral is "partial 16S ribosomal RNA". It matches the Rfam family "Bacterial small subunit ribosomal RNA", at positions 338 to 795 of the family's 1533-position model. The record is from RNAcentral.
CCUACGGGAGGCAGCAGUGAGGAAUAUUGGUCAAUGGGCGGGAGCCUGAACCAGCCAAGUCGCGUGAGGGAAGAAGGUACUGAGUAUUGUAAACUUCUUUUACCAGGGGACAAAGGCGGCCACGGGUGGCCGUAAGAGGGUACCUGGAGAAAAAGCACCGGCUAACUCCGUGCCAGCAGCCGCGGUAAUACGGGGAUGCGAGCGUUAUCCGGAUUUAUUGGGUUUAAAGGGGGCGAAGGCGGCGUGUCAAGUCGGCGGUUAAAUGUCGGGGCUCAACCCCGGCCGGCCGUUGAAACUGGCGUGCUCGAGUUGGAGAGAGGUAUGCGGAAUUCGUGGUGUAGCGGUGAAAUGCAUAGAUAUCACGCAGAACUCCGAUUGCGAAGGCAGCAUACCGGCGCCCGACUGACGCUGAGGCACGAAAGCGUGGGGAUCGAACAGGAUUAGAUACCCGGGUAGUC